Non-coding RNA from Heterocephalus glaber (naked mole-rat), 526 nucleotides. NCBI's taxonomy places the organism in Eukaryota, Metazoa, Chordata, Mammalia, Rodentia, Bathyergidae. The record is from RefSeq and is a predicted model, not a curated record.
UCAGUGAUGGUUCAGUGCCCCUGCUCGAGCUUGAGUAAACGACCCUCGGGUGUUUACAUCGGAAUCAGCUCCUUGGUGGUCUUUGGGGACUUCGCGAUCUGGGCACAACACUCCAAGGUCAACAACAACAGCAAAAAGAUCCGGGUCAUGAGGGAACCAUCUCCAAGAUCCUGCAUUUUUGGUACCGGGGAUUGAACUUGGGUCCUUGUGCUUUCGAGGCAGGUGGCAGAACCACUCAGCUAAAUCCCCAGCCCCUAUUUUUGUCAUGUGAUAUGUUAUUUCUCUUAACAUUUGCAUUCAACUAACUAGCAUGUGAAGAUCUGGGAAAAAAAGGGAGGAACACACACCUGUGUAAACAUGCAGGCUACAGACAGAUACUCAUAUGUUGGGAAGUGUUCUCUCUGUCUCUCUCUGUCUCUCUCUUCCACACACACACUUGCCACACAUUAGUGUGUGUCAUACUGUGUCAAUAGGGUGCUUCAGAACUUCUGUAACAUUCUCAGAUAAAGUCCAGUCCAAAAACAAA